Molecule: long non-coding RNA, 576 nt
Organism: Bubalus bubalis (water buffalo)
Lineage: Eukaryota; Metazoa; Chordata; Mammalia; Artiodactyla; Bovidae
Exons: 2
Source: RefSeq, a predicted model, not a curated record
AAUCAUAGCUGUUGGUUGGCACCUGGAUCUUGGCCUGCCCAGUCUUCAGAGCCAUGAGAAUGAAAUGUCUGGUUUUGAAGCGGUUCAGUCUGCGGUGGUUUGUCACAGAAGCCCAUGCUGAGUAGGAUAGUGUGGAUUCUUUACCACUCAGCCGCCAGAGAAGCCCCCCAGUGACCUCAUUGGAAACUGAGAGGUGGGGUGUGAACCUCUGAGGUCAUCUCCGACUUGAUGAGCUGAAGUGCAUCAUUUGCACCUCCAUCCUGGGGCUAUGAUGGGAGAGAGGCUGGGAGCCAGAGAGCUAAGCUUUCUCUCUUCCUUCACGCUGGCCCUGCUGUCCCUACAGAAGCCACUGCUGGCCCCUCAGGAAACCUGCCCUUGUGUAGAAGCGGGGUGGGGUAGAGGUUGGAAGCUGCUGUAGGCAGUGAGAAAACUGCAGGGCCAGGAACGGGCAGCCACAACAGCCCCUCUGCACUGUCCUUCCUGGCUGCUGGCAGCCUCUGGAUGAACUUUGAGUCUAACAGUUUCUGGGUGAAUUGAUUAAAGUCAAGGGUAUUAAUAAUAAAAAAAUGUAAACUA